Cucumis sativus (cucumber) is the source of this 715-nucleotide long non-coding RNA. RefSeq lists it as uncharacterized. NCBI's taxonomy places the organism in Eukaryota, Viridiplantae, Streptophyta, Magnoliopsida, Cucurbitales, Cucurbitaceae. The record is from RefSeq and is a predicted model, not a curated record. The transcript has 2 exons.
GUGAAGGGCUUAAUUAAAAGGGACACCAUUAAGUUAGUAGUAUGAACACAAACACUACAGCACAGAAAUUUCUCUACAAUUUUUUCUCAAACUUUCUCUUAGUUAACGCUAUGGACUAUGAGUUCAACCUAAACCCUAAUUCAUGAAUCAUCUCCGUUGCUAAAAGUCGAGAUGUGUCAACGGAUCCGAGUAGUUCCAGUACAAAAAAGCGAGGCGCUGCUGAUGAAUCUUUACUGGAGCUGGUUGAAGAUCGUCGUGGCUUAAAGAGACGAAGUUGCGGCAGGAGCUCAUCUCCCCUUCCAAUUUCUGGAACAAAUGAUAUUGGAGUCUUCAAAUCCAUAUGGAAAAGAUUACAGAGUUGAACAAUCUCAAGAACUUGGACCAUGACAGAACCUUCUCUUCAUAGUUAAUUUUAGCCUUUUAGAGACAUGGCCCAAAAGGAAGAAAAAGAAAAACUUAUUUUCUUUGAUGAUCUCCUCUCUUUUGUUGGUUUUGCAUGGAUGACUAUGUUAUUUAGCUUUAUUAUUGAAUCCUUUUCACUCAACUACAUGUUGAGGAAUUGGGGUGAGUGAAAAAAAAAAACUUCAAGAUGUUUGCAAAUCUCUAGUAUUUAUUAUAGAUUCAACUAUUGUACUUAGUUAUGUAUGAUUGCUAGUAUGUAUAUGGUAUAUCAAUCAAGUGUUAUGUCAUCCAAAAAUAUGCAACGUCGUUUUUA